Molecule: long non-coding RNA, 433 nt
Filed under: Mytilus galloprovincialis (Mediterranean mussel)
Lineage: Eukaryota; Metazoa; Mollusca; Bivalvia; Mytilida; Mytilidae
Source: RNAcentral
UACAAAAAGGUUGAUUUUUCUUCUUUGGUUCCAAACCGCCCAGUUUCAAAACAGAGUAAUUCUAGUCUUGCAAAGUUUUGUAGACCUAUUACCAGUUUUGCUGCCUCGUGCUGCUUUUCUGUUUUUUGUUGUUAGAAGCGAAGGAUAAUGAUGUUUCAUCAGCAAAAAGUAUGGGUAAAUUUUCAGCAUUAUCAGCAAUAUCAUUAACAUACAGUAUAAAUAAUAAAGGACCUACAGUAGUACAAAUACAUGUGGUACACUAACGUGUAUAUUUCUUGGAUCUGAUAAGGCAAAAUUAACUUUGAUUAUUAUAUAUUACUGGAAAUUGAAUAGACUUUUAACUUUUGGACUAAUCCUGUAGGCCAAACAUGACCAAAAUCUUUAGAAUUAUGACAAGAACAGUGCGAAUACUUUUAUUUUUAUUUUCUGGAGC